AGAGUUUGAUCCUGGCUCAGAACGAACGCUGGCGGCAGGCCUAACACAUGCAAGUCGAGCGCCCCGCAAGGGGAGCGGCGGACGGGUGAGUAACGCGUGGGAAUUUUCCUCAAGGUAGGGAACAACUCAGGGAAACUUGGGCUAAUACCCUAUGAUGCAGAGAUGCCAAAGAUUUAUCGCCUUGGGAUAAGCCCGCGUCAGAUUAGGUAGUUGGUGGGGUAACGGCCUACCAAGCCUGCGAUCUGUAGCUGGUCUGAGAGGACGAUCAGCCACAUUGGGACUGAGACACGGCCCAAACUCCUACGGGAGGCAGCAGUGGGGAAUCUUGCGCAAUGGGCGAAAGCCUGACGCAGCCAUGCCGCGUGAAUGAUGAAGGUCUUAGGAUUGUAAAGUUCUUUCGCCUGUGACGAUGAUGACGGUAACAGGAGAAGAAGCCCCGGCUAACUUCGUGCCAGCAGCCGCGGUAAUACGAAGGGGGCUAGCGUUGUUCGGAAUUACUGGGCGUAAAGCGCGCGUAGGCGGUUUUGCAAGCCAGAGGUGAAAUGCCUGAGCUCAACUUAGGAAUUGCCUUUGGGACUGUGAGGCUUUGAGGACGGAAGAGGUGAGUGGAAUUCCCAGUGUAGAGGUGAAAUUCGUAGAUAUUGGGAAGAACACCGGUGGCGAAGGCGGCUCACUGGUCCGUUUCUGACGCUAAAGCGCGAAAGCGUGGGGAUCAAACAGGAUUAGAUACCCUGGUAGUCCACGCUGUAAACGAUGAGUGCUAGGCGUCGGCAGGCUUGCCUGUCGGUGCCGCAGCUAAC
Molecule: ribosomal RNA, 800 nt
Filed under: uncultured bacterium
Lineage: Bacteria
Description: bacterial SSU rRNA
Rfam family: Bacterial small subunit ribosomal RNA
Source: RNAcentral